GGCUCUUUGAAAUUCACACAUAAAGAGUCGGACCUGCCCAGUGAUAAAUUUUUUUUAACGGCCGCGGUACUCUGACCGUGCGAAGGUAGCAUAAUCAUUUGCCCUAUAAUUGAGGGCUAGUAUGAAUGGUUUGACAUGAGCAUAGCUGUCUCCUUAAAAUUUUAUAAAAUCUGGUUUUUGGGUGAAGAAACCUAAAUUAAAUUGAAAGACAAGAAGACCCUAUCGAGCUUUAGAAUAGUUAAUUAAAAAAUAUAAAUAAAACAAUUAAUUUUAAUUAAAGACUUUGGUUGGGGCGACUGAGGAACAUAUAAAGCUUCCUUAAUUAAAUAACGCUAAUAAGCAAUGAUCCAGAAAAUCUGAUUAAAAAAAUUAGUUACCGUAGGGAUAACAGCAUAAUCUUUUUUGAGAGCCCUUAUCGAAAAAAAGGUUUGUGACCUCGAUGUUGGACUAGGAUAUCCUAAAGAUGCAGAAGUCUUUAAUGGUUGCUCUGUUCGAGCAUAAAAAUCCU
Molecule: ribosomal RNA, 508 nt
Filed under: Oncomelania hupensis robertsoni
Lineage: Eukaryota; Metazoa; Mollusca; Gastropoda; Littorinimorpha; Pomatiopsidae
Description: partial 16S large subunit ribosomal RNA
Rfam family: Bacterial large subunit ribosomal RNA
Source: RNAcentral